This 381-nucleotide ribosomal RNA is filed under the name uncultured Synergistaceae bacterium. RNAcentral's name for it is "bacterial SSU rRNA". It matches the Rfam family "Bacterial small subunit ribosomal RNA", at positions 1003 to 1382 of the family's 1533-position model. Lineage: Bacteria; Thermotogati; Synergistota; Synergistia; Synergistales; Synergistaceae. The record is from RNAcentral.
GAAGGACUCCGCUUUCGGGUGGAGAGCGUACACAGGUGCUGCAUGGCUGUCGUCAGCUCGUGUCAUGAGAUGUUGGGUUAAGUCCCGCAACGAGCGCAACCCCUGCAUUCAGUUGCCAUCGGGUGAAGCCGGGCACUCUGGAAGGACUGCCAUCGACAAGAUGGAGGAAGGUGGGGACGACGUCAAGUCAUCAUGGCCCUUAUGUCCAGGGCGACACACGUGCUACAAUGGCCGGCACAACGGGAAGCGAGUUCGCGAGGACGAGCGGAUCCCUUAAAGCCGGUCGCAGUUCGGAUUGAAGUCUGCAACUCGACUUCAUGAAGCUGGAAUCGCUAGUAAUCGCAGAUCAGCCAAGCUGCGGUGAAUACGUUCCCGGGCCUU